GACGAACGCUGGCGGCGUGCUUAAUACAUGCAAGUCGAACGGAAAGGCCCUGCUCUUGCGGGGUGCUCGAUUGGCGAACGGGGGAGUAACACGCGAGUAAACUGCCCCUGUCUUUGGGAUAACUUUAGGAAACUGGGGCUAAUACCGGGUAGGAGCUCCUGCUGCACGGUGGGGGUUGGAAAGUUUCGGCGGUUGUGGCUGGUCUCGCGGGUUAUGAGCUUGUUGGUGGGGUAGGGGAGUACCAAGGCUUUGACGGGUAGCCGGCCUGGGAGGUUGGCCGGGGUCAUGGGGCCUGCGGGACGGCCCAGACGCGUACGGGAGGCAGCAGGGGAGAAUCUUGCACAACGAGCGCGCGUCAGAGGCGGCGACGUCGCGAUCGUGAUGAUGUGUUACUGGUGGUGAACCGCUUUGGACGUUGCUGAGGCGUGAGUGACGGUACCGAGUAAAGAAGCACCGGCUAACUACGUG
Molecule: ribosomal RNA, 468 nt
Filed under: uncultured bacterium
Lineage: Bacteria
Description: partial 16S ribosomal RNA
Rfam family: Bacterial small subunit ribosomal RNA
Source: RNAcentral